CUGAAACUGAGACUGCAUCUGG
This 22-nucleotide microRNA is filed under the name Glycine max (soybean). RNAcentral describes it as "gma-miR5781". Lineage: Eukaryota; Viridiplantae; Streptophyta; Magnoliopsida; Fabales; Fabaceae. The record is from miRBase by way of RNAcentral.